This 271-nucleotide long non-coding RNA is filed under the name Capsicum annuum. RNAcentral's name for it is "long non-coding RNA (CANN_LNC010197)". Lineage: Eukaryota; Viridiplantae; Streptophyta; Magnoliopsida; Solanales; Solanaceae. The record is from RNAcentral.
ACCGAGUGAACACAGGGAUGAACGCUCACCCAUUAGUUGAGGACUGAAACCCUUAGUACAAGUCCCUAAGUUAAAAAAAUAUGGCGCCAUCAUAGGAUAUGAGGGGUCACCCGCCAGUAAAAAGACUUACACCCUAGUCCUUUGGGACUUUAUUUUAGUGGAUCCAUGCCAGCCAGUGUUGGUACCCUUGGUAAGGUACUAGAAUCCUUCUAACUAGGUUAUAGGUUGGACCCCAAUUUGGUCAGACUAUGGUAUAUCAGUUAUUAUUUCC